This 465-nucleotide ribosomal RNA is filed under the name uncultured bacterium. Its description in RNAcentral is "partial 16S ribosomal RNA". It matches the Rfam family "Bacterial small subunit ribosomal RNA", at positions 28 to 507 of the family's 1533-position model. The record is from RNAcentral.
GACGAACGCUGGCGGCGUGCUUAACACAUGCAAGUCGAACGGAAAGGCCCUGCUUGCAGGGUACUCGAGUGGCGAACGGGUGAGUAACACGUGGGUGAUCUGCCCUGCACUUCGGGAUAAGCCUGGGAAACUGGGUCUAAUACCGGAUAGGAGCCAUUUUUAGUGUGAUGGUUGGAAAGUUUUUUCGGUGUAGGAUGAGCUCGCGGCCUAUCAGCUUGUUGGUGGGGUAAUGGCCUACCAAGGCGGCGACGGGUAGCCGGCCUGAGAGGGUGGACGGCUACAUUGGGACUGAGAUACGGCCCAGACUCCUACGGGAGGCAGCAGUGGGGAAUAUUGCACAAUGGGCGCAAGCCGGAUGCAGCGACGCCGCGUGGGGGAUGACGGCCUUCGGGUUGUAAACUCCUUUCGCUAGGGACGAAGCUUUUUGUGACGGUACCUAGAUAAGAAGCACCGGCUAACUACGUG